Molecule: ribosomal RNA, 462 nt
Filed under: uncultured bacterium
Lineage: Bacteria
Description: partial 16S ribosomal RNA
Rfam family: Bacterial small subunit ribosomal RNA
Source: RNAcentral
GACGAACGCUGGCGGCGUGCUUAACACAUGCAAGUCGAGCGGAAAGGCCCUUCGGGGUACUCGAGCGGCGAACGGGUGAGUAACACGUGAGUAACCUGCCCCCGACUUUGGGAUAACCCUCGGAAACGGGGGCUAAUACCGGAUACGACACAGCUUCGCAUGGGGUCUGUGUGGAAAGUUUUUCGGUUUGGGAUGGGCUCGCGGCCUAUCAGCUUGUUGGUGGGGUGAUGGCCUACCAAGGCGACGACGGGUAGCCGGCCUGAGAGGGCGACCGGCCACACGGGGACUGAGACACGGCCCAGAAUCCUACGGGAGGCAGCAGGGGGGAAUAUUGCACAAUGGGCGGAAGCCUGAUGCAGCGACGCCGCGUGAGGGAUGACGGCCUUCGGGUUGUAAACCUCUUUCAGCAGGGACGAAGCGUAAGUGACGGUACCUGCAGAAGAAGCGCCGGCCAACUACGUG